UGAAUGAGGCUUCCCUAAUUGCACUGGGCAACCGGUUCCAGUGCUUACAUGCUUUUCAUUAUGUGAGUCAUGUUUCUGCACCUCAACUCCAACUCAACAGAGUCAUAGGAUGUUUUACGGAUUUCCUCAGGAUCACAUAGUUUAAUUUGCCAGACAGGUUUACUUAAAGGCUUUCCCCCACUGCUUUCUGAAAACAGAAACAAAAUUCACAGACCAAAAUUACUGUACUUUUGAAGACAGAUAUUGGCCGGACAGAAGGCAAUGGAAGAUUUCAUGAACG
Long non-coding RNA from Passer domesticus (house sparrow), 280 nucleotides. RefSeq lists it as uncharacterized. The record is from RefSeq and is a predicted model, not a curated record. The transcript has 3 exons. Lineage: Eukaryota; Metazoa; Chordata; Aves; Passeriformes; Passeridae.